RNAcentral lists this microRNA (20 nucleotides) under Echinococcus granulosus. RNAcentral's name for it is "egr-miR-10230-5p". Lineage: Eukaryota; Metazoa; Platyhelminthes; Cestoda; Cyclophyllidea; Taeniidae. The record is from miRBase by way of RNAcentral.
UAUAUCAAAACGUCAGGUUU